CAAAAUUAAUGAACCAUAUUUAGAAGUGUACAUAUCAUUCUUGCGCAUAUAUAUGUUAUGCUAAUUUUCCUGAAGAAAUUAAUGUUCAAUAUUUAGAAGGACGAUGGCUUUAUUUUUGUGCUGUAAAUUCAUUAUAUUAGGUGUUUAUAUGGGUUAUCCAAAAAAAAAAAGUGUUUAUAUGGAAAAUUUGGUAUAUGUGAAUAUAAUAAAUCAAUGAAGAAAGAACCUCAUUUUUUUCAGUAGUAAUAUUAAUAGUUUUUGGAAUCAGGAAGACUAGUUAACAUCUAGAACGCUUGAGUUUUUCAACAUGUAUAUGUUGGGGAGCUUUGUCAACUCUAUAGUUGAAAUAUGUAAUUAAUGUCUACGUACAAAACCAAAUGCAGUUACCAACUAUCUGAAUCCAUUUACUUAUUUAGUUUUUUUUUUCUUUUCAAAAAGUGAAAAUGCCAUUUAUUUAUGUUAGCUGUUAUACAAUUACUUUAGCAUUGUACUUUGUAUAACCCAUUCCCCACUAGAUGUACACUUAUAUAAAUUCAAAAAAUAGUACAAAGUCGAGAUAUAUAACUUUGAAUGCAGUUUAGUUCUAUUUCCAAAAUAAAAUUAGUUUCAACUCAAGUAACUACAGAUUUGGCAACACUUUUAGACAAGUUAAGAGAAACUUGAAAGACCGUUAAAGUUUAGCCUACGUCCAAGUAAAUUCUCCUUUUCGGUGAUUUGCAACACAAGAUUCCCUAAAACUAAUAUUUUUUGGUUUAAAGAAAAAGAAACAAUUUUAUUAAAAUUUGAAAAAUCAAAACUUACGUAGAUUACUUGAAGUUUGUAUGCCUUUCCCUUUAUUUUGUCUUAAAAAAUAAAAAAUAAACCACUCGUUUCUGAUUUUCCUUCUUCAAUUUUUUUGAAAAUUUGAUUUAAACCGACCGGUUCUUUAUAACCGCCGGUUUUCUUUCUUUGAAACCACAUCGCCGGGGUCUAGUUAACGCUUCGUCGCCUCUGGCUCGCUACACCACGGAAAACUUCGAGAGAUUGAAGAGGUGCUGAAAGAAUCUUAGACUCGGAAGAGUAGAAUUAAGGCAAAUAUCGUCUGCUCUGCACUUGUAUCGUCUUCGUUUUAAUCAGUGAAGCACAGGUUGUGUUAAUGUAGUAAGUUGUAUAUUUCAUCAGUGAGUGGUGGGACCUCGUUGUCCCAGAAGCGUUGAUGGAGUAGCAUUGACCCUGAGCUUGACUGGAACUUCACAUGCCUAUUCUCUGAAAUGGAGUCUGUUGAAAAGAAUCUCAAAGUUUCCUCAGCCUUUCGCUAAGACAACCUUAAGGUGAAUAUCUCUCUGUGUGCUUGGUUUCAUGUUUAGCUUGUUAUUGAGUUCUGCAUGGGUUUAGGAUUGAAAUGUAUAACUCUCUUUUUUCUUUUUUUUAUGUAAACUAAAGUAGAACUCAUUCGUUAGUUAAUUUAGCUGAAAAUUUAGAAAGUAGAAAAUGUUUCUCUCAUGUUAGAAUGGCGUUUAUAAAAAAAAAGGCUGGGAAAGAGUGGUGGGGGAUUUGUAGUGCGUGUAUCAGAAGAUGAGAUGGGGAGUGAUGAAGAAGAAGAUUGUAGUCAAAUCUGUACAAUGGGGAAACGUUUUGCCUGUGAUGAGCUAUACUUGAGGUGCUUACCAUCAACUCUUCCUUGCUAGCGCUUGUUUACGAAAGACUUCUUGAGUGUUGUUUGAUCCGUUACUUCUUGUUCAUACAGUGAUGAAUCUGAGUCCUUUUUGAUGAGUAACAACAUGUGUGAUUGUUCUUGUGCAGAGGCUGAAGUAAAAGCUCGUGCAGAGGCUGAAGUAUAUAAUUAAACAUCAUGUAUUGGUCUUCUAAGUAACGUUGCUGUGAUUAUUCUUUUCUUUUCAUUUGGAAUAUUGAGAUCUUAUUUCUUGUUGUGCUUGUUAUUUAUUGGAUCAACCUAGGUAAAUCAACACAAGGUGCAGAACCCCCAGAACGUGCUUUGACAUUGGAGAAGCACAGGUUGAAGAAGCUGGAAGAGUUAGAAGCAGCGACCCAGUCUCUAAAAUCACGUUCAUAUGAGCAAAAGCAAAUAAGGGAAACAAAGGAUAAUGUAAGGUAUGGUUCAUGGUUUCUUCAUGACUGUUGUUGUAUAUAUGCCUCUUUUUCGCGUUUUAAUGUAGGAGCCUUGAUCUUGUUUUUCUUUUGAAAAAUGUCAAUUUUCAGCAUGUGGUACGAAAGAUUCAAUAUAGAGUUGAAGAAGUUUUGUGUAAGCUUUGCCUAGGCGUCUCUUAUAUAGAGUUUUGUUAAUGUUUGUUGAUUCUUGCAGAUAGUCUCCACUCAAGACCCUUUUGCAGGCAGCUACGUCAUCCUUUAUGUCACCUCGCAGUUUCCACAAGCAAUGGAUAUUGUUCUUUGCUGAUUUUUACAAAGCUUGCAUUUACACAUGUCACAGUCAGGUUGGGACUCAGACGCAUAUCAACGCCUAGCUUCUACAAUGAGACUCUACGGUGCACUUGUCCAGACCGAUCGAUAUUCGCGGUGGCAAAGCUCAUAACAUUCAUGGGACUGAAAAUGGAUGGGCUUGAUUUGCCCGGUUCCUUAACAAUAUCUCAGCCAACAGAGCUACUGCAACAGCCUUAAACGCAUUUCUCUAGACGGCAGGGUUUGGUCUUCAUCAGAGGUACAAAUCUCAGUUCUUAAAAGCUGUGAACGUUGUCAGAGAGCAUUUCUUGCCAAAGUUGAGGGCGAAAAAGGACGCAGCGAAUCUACAGACGAUCAUAACCGAUAUAACAGCGUACUUGGAUCAUGACCAGAUGUAUCUCAAGGAACCGGUUGGAAGAACUAUGGAGACGGAUACUUUGUCGUCCAAGAUUACUCAUGAAGAAGAUCAGCACAAUCAACAUUACCAUGGGAACUAUUACAGAGGCUAUCGUUGAUUUGUGUAUCAUUCGUUAAAUAAAACGUAUCAAUUUUCUUUAGGCUGUUGUAACAUAUGAUCAUAAUGUUACACCAAUAUUUGAAAAAUCAGUCACAAGAAGCUGAAUCAAGGAAACAUUAUUGUUUAAUUACUGAGUAUUUUGUUUCA
Long non-coding RNA from Brassica rapa (field mustard), 3061 nucleotides. RefSeq lists it as uncharacterized. The record is from RefSeq and is a predicted model, not a curated record. NCBI's taxonomy places the organism in Eukaryota, Viridiplantae, Streptophyta, Magnoliopsida, Brassicales, Brassicaceae.